RNAcentral lists this ribosomal RNA (1372 nucleotides) under uncultured bacterium. RNAcentral's name for it is "bacterial SSU rRNA". It matches the Rfam family "Bacterial small subunit ribosomal RNA", at positions 28 to 1381 of the family's 1533-position model. The record is from RNAcentral.
GAUGAACGCUGGCGGCGUGCCUAAUACAUGCAAGUCGAGCGAACGGACGAGAAGCUUGCUUUUCUGAUGUUAGCGGCGGACGGGUGAGUAACACGUGGAUAACCUACCUAUAAGACUGGGAUAACUUCGGGAAACCGGAGCUAAUACCGGAUAAUAUUUUGAACCGCAUGGUUCAAAAGUGAAAGACGGUCUUGCUGUCACUUAUAGAUGGAUCCGCGCUGCAUUAGCUAGUUGGUAAGGUAACGGCUUACCAAGGCAACGAUGCAUAGCCGACCUGAGAGGGUGAUCGGCCACACUGGAACUGAGACACGGUCCAGACUCCUACGGGAGGCAGCAGUAGGGAAUCUUCCGCAAUGGGCGAAAGCCUGACGGAGCAACGCCGCGUGAGUGAUGAAGGUCUUCGGAUCGUAAAACUCUGUUAUUAGGGAAGAACAUAUGUGUAAGUAACUGUGCACAUCUUGACGGUACCUAAUCAGAAAGCCACGGCUAACUACGUGCCAGCAGCCGCGGUAAUACGUAGGUGGCAAGCGUUAUCCGGAAUUAUUGGGCGUAAAGCGCGCGUAGGCGGUUUUUUAAGUCUGAUGUGAAAGCCCACGGCUCAACCGUGGAGGGUCAUUGGAAACUGGAAAACUUGAGUGCAGAAGAGGAAAGUGGAAUUCCAUGUGUAGCGGUGAAAUGCGCAGAGAUGUGGAGGAACACCAGUGGCGAAGGCGACUUUCUGGUCUGUAACUGACGCUGAUGUGCGAAAGCGUGGGGAUCAAACAGGAUUAGAUACCCUGGUAGUCCACGCCGUAAACGAUGAGUGCUAAGUGUUAGGGGGUUUCCGCCCCUUAGUGCUGCAGCUAACGCAUUAAGCACUCCGCCUGGGGAGUACGACCGCAAGGUUGAAACUCAAAGGAAUUGACGGGGGCCCGCACAAGCGGUGGAGCAUGUGGUUUAAUUCGAAGCAACGCGAAGAACCUUACCAAAUCUUGACAUCCUUUGACAACUCUAGAGAUAGAGCCUUCCCCUUCGGGGGACAAAGUGACAGGUGGUGCAUGGUUGUCGUCAGCUCGUGUCGUGAGAUGUUGGGUUAAGUCCCGCAACGAGCGCAACCCUUAAGCUUAGUUGCCAUCAUUAAGUUGGGCACUCUAAGUUGACUGCCGGUGACAAACCGGAGGAAGGUGGGGAUGACGUCAAAUCAUCAUGCCCCUUAUGAUUUGGGCUACACACGUGCUACAAUGGACAAUACAAAGGGCAGCGAAACCGUGAGGUCAAGCAAAUCCCAUAAAUUUGUUCUCAGUUCGGAUUGUAGUCUGCAACUCGACUACAUGAAGCUGGAAUCGCUAGUAAUCGUAGAUCAGCAUGCUACGGUGAAUACGUUCCCGGGUCU